RNAcentral lists this ribosomal RNA (210 nucleotides) under uncultured bacterium. Its description in RNAcentral is "partial 16S ribosomal RNA". It matches the Rfam family "Bacterial small subunit ribosomal RNA", at positions 568 to 775 of the family's 1533-position model. The record is from RNAcentral.
CUCGUAGGCGGCCAACUAAGUCAUACGUGAAAUCCCUCAGCUUAACUGGGAACUGCGUGUGAUACUGGAUGGCUUGGAUUUGGGAGAGGGAUGCGGAAUUCCAGGUGUAGCGGUGAAAUGCGUAGAUAUCUGGAGGAACACCGGUGGCGAAGGCGGCAUCCUGGACCAAUAUUGACGCUGAGGAAGCGAAAGCAGGGGAACGACGAAACG